Non-coding RNA from Nerophis lumbriciformis (worm pipefish), 468 nucleotides. The record is from the annotation of a RefSeq genome assembly. Lineage: Eukaryota; Metazoa; Chordata; Actinopteri; Syngnathiformes; Syngnathidae.
AUGAAGCGUGCAUUGGUGUGUGUGCUGAUGGCUGCCUGGAGCCUUGGAUGUGGCAGCCAGACGGUGCACCAACCAGCUGAGAAUGUGUACGCCAUGAAAGGCGACUCAAUUACGCUGGACUGCAGCUAUGAAAACUCUGGAAGCAACGACUACAUCUUCUGGUACAAACAGGACGGGCAGGCGGCACCAAAGUUCAUCCUGAGCCUCACCAUGAAGAGUCAGGGCAACACUGAGAGCAUCUUUGAAAAGAGGUUGAGCUGCAGCAUCAAUGACACCGCCAAGCGAGCUCCUCUGAAGAUCCAAGACGUGCAGCUGAGCGACUCUGCAGUCUUCUACUGCGCCAUCCAGCCCACAAUGACUGACAUCUCUGCUGCACCCGCACAAAAACCUCUGUAGGCUCCUCAUCCCACUGUGGCUGUUUGAGAGCUGGUUCUGAGGACGUUUUCACAGCUUUUGUCCUUGUCAGGA